AUGGUAAGUUUGUUGGGAGUGUUAGAGCAGGAACGGGUGAGCUUCAUGAUGGUACUUGUUAAGAACAAGCAUUCAAUGUUUCUUCUUCUAAUAGCAAACUGUUGCACUUCUUCCCGUCAGAAGAAAGAGGACCCUUUGACUACGGUUUCUGGUGCCUCUAGCCGGUGCCACCGCCGGUCAACCUCGUCUUUUGUGGUCUUAGGGCCAUGGUGGCGCGGUGGAUCUUGGCCAUUGCCGGCGGGAGUGCUCCGUUUUCAUGUUUUCUUGAGUUCUGUUAGGAUUUGUAUAUAUCUUGCUUAG
Molecule: ribosomal RNA, 300 nt
Filed under: Triticum aestivum (bread wheat)
Lineage: Eukaryota; Viridiplantae; Streptophyta; Magnoliopsida; Poales; Poaceae
Description: partial small subunit ribosomal RNA
Source: RNAcentral